Long non-coding RNA from Panicum hallii, 639 nucleotides. RefSeq lists it as uncharacterized. The record is from RefSeq and is a predicted model, not a curated record. The transcript is spliced from 2 exons. Lineage: Eukaryota; Viridiplantae; Streptophyta; Magnoliopsida; Poales; Poaceae.
GCGGUGCCUGAAGGGGUGUGGCGGCGGCCUCCUCGACGCGCUGGCCAUCCAUGGCCGCUGCGUGCGGGGCUGCUUUGUGCCGUGUGUGGUGCGAACCGGCGGCAGGGCAGCGCGGGGAUAAGACGAUAAUACUGUACUGGCCUGUAUACUGCGUACGGUGCGGGAGUAGGACUGUCGGAGGAUGCAUGCGGCGAGCCAUGAGCGUCCACCGGCGACGCCAUCCUGCCCCGGCCCGUUUCCGCUCCUCGUGGCCUCCACCCAAGGAAAGGACAAGAAGGCAGUGGGAGCGCGUCCCCUCUGCCGGAGCCGCACGGCGUCUCCAGCGGCGUCAUGGACGAGUUCCUACAGCACCCCGCCAUGUCCAUGUCGCCGUUUGAGGGAUGCAAACAACUUAGUUGACCAGCAGAAUGAAAUCUUUCAGGUAAGUUCCAGCCCUGUUUAUUCAAACAGUUCUUCAAUUUCUUUUCAAUUUGUAAACAUCUCAUUCCUCUGUGCAGCAAUGCCAUCGGUUGGCUAUUCUGCGGAAUCUGUCAUGUUUUAACUACAGAUUUUGUAGCAAUGUAUUGACGCUUUUAACUUUGGUACAGUCUUUUUGGCUAUUGGUGUUAUUAUUGAUUUGAUUGAAACACUCUUUUUUUA